UACAGAGGUCUCAAGCGUUGUUCGGAUUCAUUGGGCGUAAAGGGUGCGUAGGUGGCGUGGUAAGUCGGGUGUGAAAUCUCGGAGCUUAACUCCGAAACUGCAUUCGAUACUGCCGUGCUUGAGGACUGGAGAGGAGACUGGAAUUUACGGUGUAGCGGUGAAAUGCGUAGAUAUCGUAAGGAAGACCAGUGGCGAAGGCGGGUCUCUGGACAGUUCCUGACGCUGAGGCACGAAGGCCAGGGGAGCAAACGGG
This 253-nucleotide ribosomal RNA is filed under the name uncultured bacterium. RNAcentral describes it as "partial 16S ribosomal RNA". It matches the Rfam family "Bacterial small subunit ribosomal RNA", at positions 524 to 776 of the family's 1533-position model. The record is from RNAcentral.